This 70-nucleotide transfer RNA is filed under the name Eucidaris tribuloides. Its description in RNAcentral is "tRNA-Cys". It matches the Rfam family "tRNA". From Rfam's summary of the family: Transfer RNA (tRNA) molecules are approximately 80 nucleotides in length. The record is from RNAcentral. Lineage: Eukaryota; Metazoa; Echinodermata; Echinoidea; Cidaroida; Cidaridae.
GGCUUUGUAGUGUAAUUUAACAUUUUGGAUUGCAAAUCCUGAGACGCAGAAUAGUUAUCUGCCAAAGCUU